Molecule: ribosomal RNA, 253 nt
Filed under: uncultured bacterium
Lineage: Bacteria
Description: partial 16S ribosomal RNA
Rfam family: Bacterial small subunit ribosomal RNA
Source: RNAcentral
UACGAAGGGGGCUAGCGUUGCUCGGAAUUACUGGGCGUGAAGCGCACGUAGGCGGAUUGUUAAGUCGGGGGUGAAAUCCUGGAGCUCAACUCCAGAACUGCCUUCGAUACUGGCGAUCUCGAGUUCGGGAGAGGUGAGUAGAACUGUGAGUGUAGAGGUGAAAUUCGUAGAUAUUCGCAAGAACACCAGUGGCGAAGGCGGCUCACUGGCCCGAUACUGACGCUGAGGUGCGAAAGCGUGGGGAGCAAACAGG